AGGGCACCACCAGGAGUGGAGCCUGCGGCUUGAUUUGACUCAACACGGGAAAACUCACCCGGCCCGGACACUGGAAGGAUUGACAGAUUGAGAGCUCUUUCUUGAUUCAGUGGGUGGUGGUGCAUGGCCGUUCUUAGUUGGUGGAGUGAUUUGUCUGGUUAAUUCCGAUAACGAACGAGACUCUAGCCUACUAAAUAGAUCGUCGGCUUACAAACGCCGGCGAGACUUCUUAGAGGGACAGGCGGUGAUUCAACCGCACGAAACAGAGCAAUAACAGGUCUGUGAUGCCCUUAGAUGUCCGGGGCCGCACGCGCGCUACACUGAAGUGAUCAGCGUGCUUUUUCAACCUACUCUGUCAAGAGUGGGGAACCCAAUGAACCUUCUUCGUGAUUGGGAUAGGGGAUUGUAAUUAUUCCCCUUGAGCGAGGAAUUCCCAGUAAGCGCGAGUCAUAAGCUCGCGUUGAUUACGUCCCUGCCCUUUGUACACACCGCCCGUCGCUACUACCGAUUGAAUGUUUU
Molecule: ribosomal RNA, 519 nt
Filed under: uncultured eukaryote
Lineage: Eukaryota
Description: SSU rRNA
Rfam family: Eukaryotic small subunit ribosomal RNA
Source: RNAcentral